AUUGAACGCUGGCGGCAUGCCUUACACAUGCAAGUCGAACGGUAACGGGCCUUCGGGUGCCGACGAGUGGCUAACGGGUGCGUAAUACAUCGGAACGUGCCCGAUCGUGGGGGAUAACGAGGCGAAAGCUUUGCUAAUACCGCAUACGAUCUACGGAUGAACGCAGGGGACCGCAAGGCCUUGCGCGGACGGAGCGGCCGAUGGCAGAUUAGGUAGUUGGUGGGAUAAAAGCUUGCCAAGCCGACGAUCUGUAGCUGGUCGGAGAGGAUGAUCAGCCACACUGGGACUGAGACACGGCCAAGACGCCUACGGGAGGCAGCAGUGGGGAAUGUUGGACAAUGGGCGCAAGCCUGAUCCAGCCAUGCCGAGUGCAGGAUGAAGGCCUUCGGGUUGUAAACUGCUUUUGUACGGAACGAAAAGCCUUCUUUUAAUACAGGAGGGUCAUGACGGUACCGUAAGAAUAAGCACCGGCUAACUACGUG
Molecule: ribosomal RNA, 482 nt
Filed under: uncultured bacterium
Lineage: Bacteria
Description: partial 16S ribosomal RNA
Rfam family: Bacterial small subunit ribosomal RNA
Source: RNAcentral